Molecule: long non-coding RNA, 1068 nt
Organism: Aplysia californica (California sea hare)
Lineage: Eukaryota; Metazoa; Mollusca; Gastropoda; Aplysiida; Aplysiidae
Exons: 4
Source: RefSeq, a predicted model, not a curated record
AGACAAGUUUUAAUCAUCGCUUAUUGGCGCGUCUUAGGGCUCCACACGUCUGCCGCCUGAAGCAUGGACCCCUCUGCGCAUGUCCGGGUCGGUAGCGGAAGGAAGUAGUAAGAGGGGAGAGGACCGGCUCGCCGCGGGGGAGGGUGUGAGUCGUCCUCGGGAGUCCAGAGCUGCUCACCUCUGUCGCUCGUUUCGAGCGAGGCACGUGAUGUCUGUCUAGUGUGAGGCAAGCGGCUCGGUGUUUACACAGUGCGUGUCAAUUACUUCCGUUCGAUGGUGCCUUGGGUGUGAUUUACAGGGACUUCCUAGUCGUACUUACCAUUUGAGGCCGGGCAUGUGCUGACGGCCUUGAACAUCAGCAAAUUUACAACUUCAACUGAUAACUCCAGAUCAAGAGGCUUCAUAAAAAUUAGGAGCACCUUGAUGUGAUGCAGAGAUAAACAGUCUUUAAAAAAACCUGUACUAUAUGCUUUUGAUAACGAUCAGGAGUGUUUCGUACAAAAAGAAGGACACAUUAACAACUUCGGAACUUCUUCAAACGUUCCUUUUGAAUUUCCACUAUAAUAACCGGCACGGUUAUCCCUUUCACUCCAAGGUGGCACGUGCUAAAACUGUCGACUGUGGAACUACGAGAAAGAACAUUGCUGUUUAUUUUGCAAGGAUAAGAAUAACGAUGUGACGAUGACUGGAAGUGACUACUGUCACCGAACUGUAUCAUCAUCAUCUGUGCUUUGCUUCUAAACACAAGGACUACCUACAUCAAUCGGGCUGGAAUAAUAUCCGUGCUGUGAUUUUUUCUGAGCAGUUCUGUUCACCGACGCCAUGGAGAUUCAAAAUCACGGACAACAGUACUAUUAUAUUCCUGGAGGAAUGACUCCUGCUGCCCUUCUACUUAGUUUGACAUGGACUGCCAGUCUCUUCCUUACCUCAGUGUCUCGAGAGACGUGCCACUUCCCUGACUUCCUACAGAGCGCUCCAGAAGGCGGUGACCUUCGACCCUGGACGACCCGGAUGUGGUGGCUCUACCUCCGCCACGCCCCAGAAUGGGCAGAGAAACAAGACAUCUAU